UGGGGAAUAUUGCACAAUGGGCGCAAGCCUGAUGCAGCCAUGCCGCGGGUGUGAAGAAGGCCUUCGGGUUGUAAAGCACUGUCAGCGGGGAGGAAGGCGAUAAGGUUAAUAACCUCAUCGAUUGACGUUACCCGCAGAAGAAUCACCGGCUAACGCCGUGCCAGCAGCCGCGGUAAUACGGAGGGUGCAAGCGUUAAUCGGAAUUACUGGGCGUAAAGCGCACGCAGGCGGUCUGUCAAGUCGGAUGUGAAAUCCCCGGGCUCAACCUGGGAACUUCAUUCUAAACUGGCAGGCUAGAGUCUUGUAGAGGGGUGUAGAAUUCCAGGUGUAGCGGUGAAAUGCGUCGAGAUCUGGAGGAAUACCGGUGGCGGAGGCGGCCCCCUGGCCAAAGACUGACGCUCAGGUGCGAAAGCGUGGGGAGCAAACAGG
RNAcentral lists this ribosomal RNA (429 nucleotides) under Chloroflexota bacterium. RNAcentral's name for it is "Chloroflexi bacterium partial 16S ribosomal RNA". It matches the Rfam family "Bacterial small subunit ribosomal RNA", at positions 355 to 776 of the family's 1533-position model. The record is from RNAcentral. Lineage: Bacteria; Bacillati; Chloroflexota.